UACAGAGGGUGCGAGCGUUAAUCGGAAUUACUGGGCGUAAAGCGCACGUAGGCGGCUUGGUAUGUCGGGUGUGAAAUCCCCGGGCUCAACCUGGGAACUGCAUCCGAAACUGCCUUGCUAGAGUAUGGGAGAGGGAAGUGGAAUUUCCGGUGUAGCGGUGAAAUGCGUAGAUAUCUGGAGGAAUACCGGUGGCGAAGGCGGCAUCCUGGACCGAGAUUGACGCUGAUGAGCGAAAGCUAGGGGAGCAAACGGG
This 253-nucleotide ribosomal RNA is filed under the name uncultured bacterium. Its description in RNAcentral is "partial 16S ribosomal RNA". It matches the Rfam family "Bacterial small subunit ribosomal RNA", at positions 524 to 776 of the family's 1533-position model. The record is from RNAcentral.